UAGGAUGUAGCUAAGUAGAAAAGUAUCUCCCUUACACUGAGAAGACAUUCGUGCAAAUCGAAUCGCCCUAA
RNAcentral lists this transfer RNA (71 nucleotides) under Gymnothorax pseudothyrsoideus (highfin moray). Its description in RNAcentral is "tRNA-Val". It matches the Rfam family "tRNA". Rfam says of the family: Transfer RNA (tRNA) molecules are approximately 80 nucleotides in length. Their secondary structure includes four short double-helical elements and three loops (D, anti-codon, and T loops). Lineage: Eukaryota; Metazoa; Chordata; Actinopteri; Anguilliformes; Muraenidae. The record is from RNAcentral. RNAcentral also lists the same sequence under 1 other name.